GUGGCUGUGGCUCAGUGGUAGAGCACUCGCCUAGUAUGUGUGAGGCCCUGGGUUUGAUCCUCAGCACCACA
Molecule: transfer RNA, 71 nt
Filed under: Marmota marmota marmota (Alpine marmot)
Lineage: Eukaryota; Metazoa; Chordata; Mammalia; Rodentia; Sciuridae
Also listed under: 1 other name
Rfam family: tRNA
About the family: Transfer RNA (tRNA) molecules are approximately 80 nucleotides in length.
Source: Rfam by way of RNAcentral